Mercenaria mercenaria is the source of this 800-nucleotide long non-coding RNA. RefSeq lists it as uncharacterized. The transcript has 5 exons. The record is from RefSeq and is a predicted model, not a curated record. Lineage: Eukaryota; Metazoa; Mollusca; Bivalvia; Venerida; Veneridae.
CUUAUUGUUAGUCGGGUCCUUUUAAUAAGGUCUAAAACGUGUAUUUGUUAUUUCAGGAGGCGAACGCUCAAGAUCACCAUUCAGACGUUUUGUAUUUGAUGCCAAUCACAAAUUUUCAGGUUGGGCCUCUUGGGAACAGUAUGCGGCUUGUUCUACACGCUGUGUAUCCGGAUACGAAACUGACACAAAGAGAUGUUGUGAAACGGGCGACAAUAGGCUUUGCUAUUACUUACCAUGGGAUCAGCUUAAAGUAUACAUAGGAACAUGCCCGAAUGAAACAACCGCAACUCAAACACCAUCGUCAACAUUGCCAACAACAACAACGAAAACAACAAGAGCUACAACAAAAACAUCAUCAACGCCUUCAUCAACAUUGGCAACAACAACAAAAGCUACAGCAAAAACAACAACGUUUAGAGGGCCCUAUACAAUACCUCCAAAACCAACAACAUGUAAGGUAUGCUCAGGCCCUUUAUUUCUAUGCGAGCAGAUUUACGUGGACAAACAGUGCAAUCCACCUAACAACUAUUGCAUAAAUAAAUUAUCAAAUCAUAAGGAUGGUACAAGAACGGUGACAAGAGGGUGUGGGACCUUCGAUACCUGUUACAGAGAUUGGUUUCUAGGGUCUUCUGAUGCUGAUAAGUGUCGAAUUUUUGACGAAAACGACAUUAGAACUUAUGAUUUUGAUUGCACGUACUGUUGUAUCACCGAUGGUUGCAACGAAUCAAUACGUCCACCAGACAGAACAUUAUACAAAGAUCUUUAAAUCAGCUUAUUGUAAAUAAAGCAGUAACAGCCAA